Molecule: small nucleolar RNA, 106 nt
Filed under: Olea europaea subsp. europaea
Lineage: Eukaryota; Viridiplantae; Streptophyta; Magnoliopsida; Lamiales; Oleaceae
Description: Plant small nucleolar RNA R71
Rfam family: Plant small nucleolar RNA R71
About the family: R71 is a member of the C/D box family of snoRNAs containing the C (UGAUGA) and D (CUGA) box motifs. Multiple nearly identical copies of this snoRNA have been identified in Arabidopsis, and it is thought to function as a 2'-O-ribose methylation guide for 18S ribosomal RNA.
Source: Rfam by way of RNAcentral
AUUCAAUGAUUUGGACAAUUUCUCAUGAACUCCUUCAAAUCUAUUCCAUGCAUCAUUAUAACUCUCCUCAUUCCUUUGUUAGAAUGUUUGAAUUUUCAAUUGGAUU